Molecule: ribosomal RNA, 459 nt
Filed under: uncultured bacterium
Lineage: Bacteria
Description: partial 16S ribosomal RNA
Rfam family: Bacterial small subunit ribosomal RNA
Source: RNAcentral
CCUACGGGAGGCUGCAGUGAGGAAUAUUGGUCAAUGGCCGGAAGGCUGAACCAGCCAAGCCGCGUGAAGGACGAAGGUGCCAAGCAUUGUAAACUUCUUUUGUCAAGGGACAAAAUCAGGCUCGAGAGUCUGACCGAGGGUACUUGAAGAAAAAGCAUCGGCUAACUACGUGCCAGCAGCCGCGGUAAUACGGAGGAUGCGAGCGUUAUCCGGAUUUAUUGGGGUAAAAGGGUGAGUAGUCGGGCUGUUAAGUCAGCGGGAAAAGCCGGGGGCUAAACGCCGUCGAGCCGUUGAAACUGGGUUUCUUGAGAUGUCGAGAGGUAUGCGGAAUGCGCAGUGUAGCGGUGAAAUGCUUAGAUAUUGCGCAGAACUCCGAUUGCGAAGGCAGCAUACCGGCGGCGAUCUGACGCUGAGGCACGAAAGCGUGGGUAUCGAACAGGAUUAGAUACCCUUGUAGUC